Molecule: long non-coding RNA, 1601 nt
Filed under: Mus musculus (house mouse)
Lineage: Eukaryota; Metazoa; Chordata; Mammalia; Rodentia; Muridae
Description: long non-coding RNA chr6:21274964-21276565
Source: RNAcentral
AAAACUCAGGAUGUCCUCAUUCUUAAUAGCUGAGAAGUUUUCCAUUGUGUAAAUGAACCACAUUUUCUGUAUUCAUUCAUCCAAGAUUCACAGGGAGUUAAUUUUAAGAUUAAUUUUAUUUACUACUUUAAUGUAUUUAUCAAGUAUUUAUUUUCCACUACUAUCUUCAAUCUCUUGUAAUUUUAAGAACAAGUUUAUUGGAGUAGAUGUAUUCAUUCUCAUAUCAAGACAGGAGUCUUGGUGUCUCCAGAGAUAAAGUAAUUGUCCAGCUGGCAUUCUGCUAGGAGAUGACAAAGUUAAGAUUCAGUCCAGUCUAUUCCUCAUGUAAGCAGGCAUGCAAGUUCACCGUCAAUGAACAGACAUGUUGACUUAUGACCUCCAAAGGAAAUGUUGCCUUAAAUAAUGAAUGAAUAAAUCAGGACAUGAAAUCUAUCUAUGAAGCAAGGAAACACAGGUGAUAACACAGAUGUCUGAGUCAUAUAUUAUCAUGUGAAUUAGGCACUCCAAGAGAUGAUAUUUUUUGAUAUGAAUGCAUUUAAUAGUUGUGACACAGAGUUUUAGUACUUUAAAAAAAAACUGAUCUUGAUUUUAUUUCACUAAAGUCAUCUGGGAAAUACCAUGAAAAUUUGUUGCUAUGAAUUGUUCAAUUGCUUCCUUAUUUACGCUGUCUUAAUUCAGUUAGAAGUCCCCUUAAUCUAGGUAAUGGGCUAGUGCAAUCUACUGUCAUGGAAAUAGAAUAACAUCAUGUGGUAAGAUGAAACUGCCAGAUAAUGCAAACAUAACUAGCUUAGCAUGUAUUUAUACUCACGCAUAUUUUGUGAGUCAGAAUCUUAAUAGGAAUCUUCCUUGCCAUUUCAGAAUUAGAUAAUACCCCAAAGAGUUUAUGCAUAAAAAUGAGAAAUGUAAUAAACUUUAAAGGAAAAAUUUUAAUAGUAUAGUUAAAAAAACUAGUAGGAAAUUAAGGAAUUUUGUUUAAUAAUAUAUAAUCUGAUACAGUAUCCUUUGCUCUUUUUCUUCCUCUCUCAAAGUGCUUUCUCAAGUCCCUUUUGACAGUGAGAAAACUAUUCUGAGAGCUUCAGAAUUUGCAGCGAUUCAAUAAAUGUCUUUAAACUACUUUUAAACUGGUCUUUCUAGGUGCUGAGUAAUUGAUUCUGUCCAGGCAGGGGAAGAAUUACUUUCAGCUGUUUUCCAUACAAUUAAGGAGCUUUAAAAGACCAGUGAAUUUUUGUAGUUAGACAUUUGUGAGAAGGGCUGUUGAGUCUGCUGCAGCUUGAACCAGAGAGGAUCCAUACUGUUCUCUUGCUCAGGUUAUCCAGGGCGUUAAAGUAGCUCAUUUCAGAAUUUAAAUCUCAUCUUGAAAUGAAUAAUAAAAUACUGUUGCAAAGGACAUUGCCUCUGAGAACCAUAUUUCCUUUGUUAGUUUGCUUUGUUUAAUGGUCAUUUAAAAAACAAACAUAGGGCCAUGCGGAGUGGUGCAUGCCUUUAAUCCAACAUGUAGGAGGCAGAGACAGGUAGAUUUCUUUUAGUUCAAGACCAAGCUGGUCUACAUUGUGAGGUCCAGGAAAGCAGGAGCUACAGAAUGAGACCUUGUCUUGAAAAGG